This is a small nuclear RNA of Cucurbita pepo subsp. pepo (vegetable marrow), 123 nucleotides long. NCBI's taxonomy places the organism in Eukaryota, Viridiplantae, Streptophyta, Magnoliopsida, Cucurbitales, Cucurbitaceae. The record is from RefSeq and is a predicted model, not a curated record.
GUGUUUCAAAGGAGAGAUGAUUGCAUCUCCCCUGACAGAAUCAGAAACAGCCUUCAGGCUUCCCUGUUAAUACAAACAGAUUAAGAAUUAUAUCAUGACAAGAAAAAUCCUUACCAUUGUUGU